CUUAAUGGUUUCUUUGUCCGUUGC
This 24-nucleotide non-coding RNA is filed under the name Arabidopsis thaliana (thale cress). The record is from RNAcentral. Lineage: Eukaryota; Viridiplantae; Streptophyta; Magnoliopsida; Brassicales; Brassicaceae.